UUUUUCACCAAAACCUACCAAUUUCUCUUUCUCAACUUGUUUUCUUACCCACUCCUUUCUAGUUAUUGGCUACCCAAUUGUUUUUUUGUAUUAGAUAAAAUACUUUUCAUUUUUUUCUUUCACCAAACCUGUGUACCACAUGAGUUUAUAUCAAUUGCCACUACAAAAAAAAUAUCUAAAUUGUGGAAGUUUUAAAGUAGAGGUUAGUUGCAACCUUCACAAAUUACUUUAAGUAUCGGAGAUUUUAGAGCUGACAGAAAAUAUAAGUAAAUAGCGAAGGUUCAAAACCCCGCCAUCUAAAAUGCCCGUAAUCUGAAAAUAAAAAUUUUUAUUUCAAAAAUAUAAAAGUUCAUUAGUAUUUCAUUAUAAUGAAAAUGUAUGCCGGGGUUUAGAUCUCAACUUUCCCUCAAUAUUUUUCCUCCCAAAAUUUUAGGGUUGCAGGGAAGAUGUUCUCAGAAUUUUCUAGCUGGUGAAGAGAAUUCUGGUGAUUUAUGUUCGCAAAAAAGAAGAGGAACUCUAGUUAGGUGUUGAUUUUCCAUUAAGGAAGAGAGGAUUGAUUGGAUUCUCUCUAAGCUUGCAAAUUUGCUCUUCCGUCGACAAAUAUUCUCAAAAUCGUCACAGUAUUAGGCAUAUGAAGUGGUGAGAUUCUAGCUCUAGAUGUAUUCGCAGGUCAUCUGAAAUAGAGAUUUAGUGAUUGCCAUCCUGGGUGAGUUGCAGAAAGAAUGGUAUAUUUCCUGUAAAACUCUCUUUUAUGUGUUCACUUGGAUAUUAUGUGUUGUACAUAAGAUUAGUCACUGCAAAAAAUAUAUCAAGCCAUAAAUUGCUUUGAAUUCUGCUUAACGUUUUAUUUGGCAAGCGUUAUAUCUUAAUUGUUUUGGUAGGUUAACUUUUGAAUUCUCAUUGAAAGAUGUAUGACACAUGAAAUAGAAGUUGUUCUGAGAGUACGUUUGUAGAGUACUAAUGAUUUUGGAGCUCAAGUUGCUCAUUUUGGUGCGAUAAAGACGAUUGAUGUCAGUGAAAAUGAAAACAAGUCUAUGCAUGUAAUAAGAGGCUAUUGCUCUAGGUUAGUGUAUUAAUUUUUUCACUUUCACUUUUCACUUACCGCAAAUUAAUCAUUGUUUCUGAUUGUCCACAUUUUAUAAGAGAACAGUCUAUACACACUAAAGGGAAUUAUCAAAGUUAAGUACAGACAAGAUGCUUGUGAGGUUGGUGAUGAAGGUGGAUUCAUUCUAAAUGUCCACGGUAGUAGGGAAGGGCUAAUUACACCGAUAGAAAUUGGAAUGGAUGUAGUAACAUCUAAGUUGUUUUUCUAAGUUUCAAGAGACAACCAAAUAAUGCUUACAUACUGGAUUUGUGCCAAGAUAAGCAACGGAUAGAGGCAAUUGAUAAGUAGAGAGCUACGAUAUCUUGUUGAUGCCUUGUUUUAAUUUAUGUGAGUUGUGACAAGAAUUUUAUGAAUUCGACAACUACUGUGGAUUGACGUACACUGUAUUUGAUAUUACUGGGCAUUUUGUGCUUGGUGGACUGCAAAUAAAGAUAGUUAUGUGUGUAUUUAGGUAUCAUUGUAGAUUGUAGAAGUGAAUUAUGUAUCAUUGUAAAUUUUAGUACUAUUGUAGAUUGUAGUUCAUUGUCGUUGUUUUCUUUAA
This is a non-coding RNA of Solanum lycopersicum (tomato), 1646 nucleotides long. NCBI's taxonomy places the organism in Eukaryota, Viridiplantae, Streptophyta, Magnoliopsida, Solanales, Solanaceae. The record is from RefSeq and is a predicted model, not a curated record.